CGGGACCGCACAAGCGGUGGAUGAUGUGGAUUAAUUCGAUAGCAACGCGAAAACCUUAACCUACCCUUGACAUGUCCGGAAUCCCGAAGAGAUUUGGGAGUGCUCGCAAGAGAACCGGAACACAGGUGCUGCAUGGCUGUCGUCAGCUCGUGUCGUGAGAUGUUGGGUUAAGUCCCGCAACGAGCGCAACCCUUGUCAUUAGUUGCCAUCAUUUGGUUGGGCACUCUAAUGAGACUGCCGGUGACAAACCGGAGGAAGGUGGGGAUGACGUCAAGUCCUCAUGGCCCUUAUGGGUAGGGCUUCACACGUCAUACAAUGGUCGGUACAGAGGGUUGCCAACCCGCGAGGGGGAGCUAAUCCCACAAAGCCGAUCGUAGUCCGGAUCGCAGUCUGCAACUCGACUGCGUGAAGUCGGAAUCGCUAGUAAUCGUGGAUCAGCAUGUCACGGUGAAUACGUUCCCGGGUCUU
This 468-nucleotide ribosomal RNA is filed under the name uncultured Rhodocyclaceae bacterium. RNAcentral describes it as "bacterial SSU rRNA". It matches the Rfam family "Bacterial small subunit ribosomal RNA", at positions 917 to 1381 of the family's 1533-position model. Lineage: Bacteria; Pseudomonadati; Pseudomonadota; Betaproteobacteria; Rhodocyclales; Rhodocyclaceae. The record is from RNAcentral.